UGAGGAAUAUUGGUCAAUGGGCGCAAGCCUGAACCAGCCAUCCCGCGUGAAGGAAGAAGGCCCUACGGGUUGUAAACUUCUUUUCUGUUUGAAGAAUAAGCUCGUCGAGACGAGUGAUGCCGGUAGGACAGGAAUAAGCAUCGGCUAACUCCGUGCCAGCAGCCGCGGUAAUACGGAGGAUGCAAGCGUUAUCCGGAUUUAUUGGGUUUAAAGGGUGCGCAGGUGGUUUAAUAAGUCAGUGGUGAAAGUCUGGCGCUUAACGUUAGGAUUGCCAUUGAUACUGUUAGACUUGAAUAUGGAUGAGGUAGGCGGAAUGUGUAGUGUAGCGGUGAAAUGCUUAGAUAUUACACAGAACACCGAUUGCGAAGGCAGCUUACUAAUCCAUUAUUGACGCUGAGGCACGAAAGCGUGGGGAUCAAACAG
RNAcentral lists this ribosomal RNA (423 nucleotides) under uncultured bacterium. RNAcentral's name for it is "bacterial SSU rRNA". It matches the Rfam family "Bacterial small subunit ribosomal RNA", at positions 355 to 775 of the family's 1533-position model. The record is from RNAcentral.